AUUUGUUAACCUGUAUUCUAUGCGUAUGUUGCUUUGACCCUUUGGUGUGGGAGGAGUUAAAGACAUGUGAUUAUACUGAGCAUGUGCAGACUCAAUACUCCAUUUUGUAUUCCAUAUCUGUGUAGACUUUAAUGGAAGCAAUCUCGCAGCAGACCUCACUGAAGGUGGAUGCAUGUAUGUGUUUGAUCUUCAAUGAAAGCAGGUUGCUGUUUGGACUUCAGUAGAGAAGUCUGUUUAGAGACUUCAAUGGAUACAGUACAAUUAUGGACUUCAUAAUUGCACAUAAUGACUAGGCGUGUGCAAAAAAACAGAAGUCUCGGAAACCGUAAGAAAAUCAGAAUUUUUAUAUUCUGGACUAUGGUUCCCAUCAGAUCCAAGCAACAUGGACAGUGUUAUGGGGAAAAUUGAGAUAAGAUCCAUGAUAUCUGGAUAGCAUCAUCUUGCAGUUGGAGUCACCAUGUGCAAAUGUAACCAGAGGUCUUGUAUCCUUACUAAUGGAAGAAGAGAGGGAACGUUGACUAGGGGCAUUUUUUUCCAACAACAAAACAACAUAAGGAAGUACAUCCACUAAAAUCCAUUCUUCUAAUACAGCUGUGAAAGUGUCCUGGUGUACUUUGAUUCUGUUUAUUCUUGUGAAAGGACAUGUUUGGAGUACAGAUGCCAAAGAACUUUGUGAUUCAUCUAGCCAGAUUAACUAUACUAUUUUUUAAAAAACAACUUCAAGUUCAGACCCUUCUUUCAGGUUAUGUUAAGAAUGCAGUUUAGCGCUUUGAUGUUUAUUUAUUUACUAGUGCAUAUAUCAGGCAUUGUCCCUCUGUCCUUUCUUCUUUCCUUUCUUUCCGUUCUUUUUCUCUUUCUUUCUUUCCUUCCUUUUUCCUUUCCUCUCAUACUCAAGUUACCUUUCUUACUCAGUGACAUCAAGGAGGGCCACUUCACCUAGCAACUGCCAAUCCAGUGACACCACAUUCCACCUAGCAACAGCCUUUGUGGUACAAACAGACAGACAAACAUACAUACAUACAUACAUAUA
Anolis carolinensis (green anole) is the source of this 1030-nucleotide long non-coding RNA. RefSeq lists it as uncharacterized. The record is from RefSeq and is a predicted model, not a curated record. Lineage: Eukaryota; Metazoa; Chordata; Lepidosauria; Squamata; Anolidae. The transcript is spliced from 3 exons.